This 580-nucleotide ribosomal RNA is filed under the name Streptomyces thermoalcalitolerans. Its description in RNAcentral is "partial 16S ribosomal RNA". It matches the Rfam family "Bacterial small subunit ribosomal RNA", at positions 1077 to 1449 of the family's 1533-position model. Lineage: Bacteria; Bacillati; Actinomycetota; Actinomycetes; Kitasatosporales; Streptomycetaceae. The record is from RNAcentral.
CAUUUUAGGAGGUUAAUACUCCUACUCCUCAUGGGCAAGGGUUGUUCAUCACGCGGACUCGGUUUUCUAUACAUCCCCCCUGGCUGUAACUGAUCCAGCCAAUCAUUCUGCCCCUAACCCCUAAACCCUGUCGGUUUCGGAACUAGACCCUCGUUGGUUCUUGGAGUACGUGGUGCUUUUCGUCAUCUCCCCGUUAAUUGUUUCUUUAGCUGGCCCCGUCCGAUCACCUCCUAACUGGAGGAAGGUGGGGAUGGCGUCAAGUCCUCAUCCCCCUUAUGUCUUGGGCUGCACCCGUGCUACAAUGGCCGGUACAAAGAAAAAGGAUGCCGUGAGGCGGAGGGAAUCUCAAAAACCCGGUCCCAGUUCGGAUUGGGGUCUGCAACUCGACCCCAUGAAGUCGGAGUCGGUAGUAAUCGCAGAUCAGCAUUGCUGCGGUGAAUACGUUCCCGGGCCUUGUACACAUCGCCCGUCCCGUCACGAAAGUCGCUAACACCCGAAGCGAUGACCCAACCCCCCUGUGGGGAGGGAGCUCUCGCAUGAUGUGAGUAGAGAUAGCUGCUCCCUCCCUCCCCCCGGGAAG